Molecule: transfer RNA, 69 nt
Filed under: Ictidomys tridecemlineatus (thirteen-lined ground squirrel)
Lineage: Eukaryota; Metazoa; Chordata; Mammalia; Rodentia; Sciuridae
Description: Spermophilus tridecemlineatus (thirteen-lined ground squirrel) tRNA
Rfam family: tRNA
About the family: Transfer RNA (tRNA) molecules are approximately 80 nucleotides in length. Their secondary structure includes four short double-helical elements and three loops (D, anti-codon, and T loops).
Source: Rfam by way of RNAcentral
GGGGUUGUGGCUCAGUGGUAUAGCACUUGCCUAGUAUGCAUAAGACUUUGGGUUUGAUCCCCAGCACCA